Pundamilia nyererei is the source of this 1404-nucleotide long non-coding RNA. RefSeq lists it as uncharacterized. Lineage: Eukaryota; Metazoa; Chordata; Actinopteri; Cichliformes; Cichlidae. The record is from RefSeq and is a predicted model, not a curated record. The transcript is spliced from 3 exons.
GACAGCCACAAAUCAAAAAACCAAAGAAAACAAACAAAGGGAGCAACAAGAAGCCUGGAAGAGGGGAAGAGAUGAGAAGACUCAAAGCGACUGAGGAGUCAGAGCAGCGUGAAAGAGGGCAGAAGAGCGCUGGAUGAAAUUUGUUAUCGUCUACUUUCCCCCCCUCACGUGCAGUUUGUCAUCAGUGACAGUGGAAUUAACCCUCUUAACUAUAUCUCAACCUCCACCGCUAAUCUCAGGCUCGCCCGAGCACCACUCCUCCUCCGGAUGACGUCCCCACAAACAAAUUAGCACGCAGCCUAAAGCAAAGGCACUCAGCUGGCAGCUCCGUCAGGGGAAAGAAGAGAAUGACACGUUUCCGACCGACUCCUAAUUGCCAACUGGUUUUGCGAUUUCUGACAGUUUAGGCUCGGCCAAGUUUCACAAAAAAACCAAAAAAAAAACAACCCCAAACUAAACAAACAAACAAAGAAACAACAAGAAGUUUCCGAUCAGCAGGAUGGAUGCCAGAGAACAGACGCUGAACCUCCUUGGCAGAAUCUGGGUCAAGCUUCAAGGUCUGCCCAACGCCAACCCCAUAGAGCUGGGAGCUUUCUUCGUCCUGCUAACUUUUAUUCUUGUAGUCCUGCUCAUCACAGUGGUGACCUGCGCGAGCUUCUGCUGCGGCUGCUGCAGCUGCUGCUGUCGCAAGAGGAAGCUAAAGGGUCCCGACCUUUGAGCAAAAACAGACACAACUGCAAGCUCUCCACACAGCGAGUCCUGAUCGUGUUUUAGAAACACACACACACAAGAAUUGUACAGGGUGCAUGCUGUGCAGCACUAAAGAACCUCAACCCUUGGACAACAAAACACCUGCCAAACACCGUAAAGGAUGUCCUGCAACGCUGCCAAACACACCUGCUCGAGUCAACAGGCUUUCAGGAGAGUCCACAUUCCUUGGAGCAUCACUGCACUCCCAACAGCGAUCCCUGAGGACAGGGCCGGGCCAACUCCAGCUGUGUGUGAAUCAGGCAGAAACUUCUUGGACCAUACAGGACUGAACACGUGUAUGAAACUAACUUUAGGCAAACAGUGAGAAAUGACUGGGAAUGCCCGAUUGGAUUGUUUUUUCUCAGAGCCUUCUAAACAUAAUGAUGUGUCACUCUAAAGUAAUGAGAACUGGCAGUCAGACUUCUGAGUUAGUCAAGAGCCUCAAGCAGGAAGCAGCUUUCAAAGGAUGGUAAGAGAGGAAAUCUGCCCUCUGCUGUCCAGAAACAGAAAUGCACUCUUUAUCUAAAACUGCACGUUACAUACUGUGGAACAGGUGAAGGCGUUGUGUUGUGAUGUAAUGCUUUAAGCCUGCACUUAUUGUCAGUUAUGCUUUGAUCUGUAUGUAAAUAAUAAUAAAAAUAACAAUAAUUAUAA